Cydia pomonella (codling moth) is the source of this 1484-nucleotide long non-coding RNA. RefSeq lists it as uncharacterized. Lineage: Eukaryota; Metazoa; Arthropoda; Insecta; Lepidoptera; Tortricidae. The transcript is spliced from 2 exons. The record is from RefSeq and is a predicted model, not a curated record.
CAUAAAAUUGAUUACUCGAUGUUUUUUUAUACCAUGACUGGCAUACGAUCCACUUCAUAGUAAGCUAACAUCGAAAGUUGUUGAAUAAAGAUGCGCAAGGUAUUUCGUCUGGGCUGCUAAAAUAUUUAGACAUACCACUUUUUUUUACUUAUUUUUCUGCUUCUAUAUAGUAUGAAUUGUUAUUAUUCGUCAGGGGGUAGAAUCCAAAGCAAGCAAGAGCAGAAUAUUUAUUAUUUUCUAAUGAAACCUACCAGAACGCAAAGAAUUUGGAAUGACCAAGGUAAUAAAUUUAAGAGAUACAGACGUUCAAUGAAGGGGGACGAAAAUUUGAGCCUGGAUAUGGGUCUAUGGGCACUCAGUUCAGGCAAUGAGACAGAUAACAUAGAACCAAUUAGAAACCGUUGGAGAAGCUGGAGAAAUAUUGAGCAGCAGCAUCGUGAAAGCAGUGGAGAAGACGAGGAAUGGGGUCGUCUGGGUGAGUCGAUAAGUUUUCAGAUUUUUUGGCCCCAUGGUUCAAGAGGAGGUAACAUAUUUUUUUCUUUCGGAGCUAUUGUUUCAGAAAAUAUUAACAUUAUCAAAAAAUGGUCUGUCGAGACCCUUAUUCGUUUUGAAAUAAUUAUAAAUUUGUAUAGCGACCAAGAAUUGUUUUAAAAAAAAUCUUUUAUUUCGUGUAACAAGAGACAUAUCUUCUUAAACUAAAAAACUAAAUUUUAAAAAUCCUUAUUUAUUAAACGGGCUUUACCAUUCGACAGUACUAGUGGGUGAAUGUAAUCUUCCACAAUGUGAUAAAUAGACACAAUCCACCCUCUCGGCUAUCAUCUUCAGAAUGAUGUUGGGACUGCCCCGCACCCGACCAAAUAAAUAAACUAUUGGGUCAAAGCAAAAAAUAAACAAAUAAAAUUUUGUAUGUGCGGUAAAUUUAUUUGUAGUUUUUGUUUUUAGACGGUAGAUACUGGUAUGUUAUUAUUUUUAAAUUCUAUGCAUAAAAAAGUUAUAUUAUACCUCUUGCGUCAAAUGAUGGUGGUGGCGGACGACGAGGCGGCGGCGGCCGACUGGGCGCGCCUCACCUUCGACCUCAAGCGCGCCAAGCUGUCCCGCGACUCGGUGAGCACACACCUCCACUAUCGACCUCACCGUCCUCACCACACAGGCGCUCCCGUACUCAUGUAGUAUGGGAGCGCGACCUCUUCUUUUGGUUGCGCUUACAACUAUGACCAUUACUCGUGUAAUUUAAAUAUAUUUACAAAAAAUAAGUUUCACCCCACCUGGGCUAUUAUAGUAUAAACAGGUGUAGAUUACGACUCGGUUGAAUUACCCAAAUCGUAGCAUUUUACAAGUAACAUUGCACCUAUGUGGCCUCGUGCUUUUUGUAAACCCUUCAUGAUGCAGUUCGGUGUAUUAUAGUAGCAUACGACGAAAUAUGGCAACAUUCACUCUCUAAAAGUAAAAGUUUAAACAUUAAAGAUUGGCAGAGUUCUCUUGCA